AGUCGAGAAUUUUUCACAAUGGGGGAAACCCUGAUGGAGCGACGCCGCGUGGGGGAUGAAUGGCUUCGGCCCGUAAACCCCUGUCAUUCGAGAACAAAUUGGUUCAAUUAACACCUGAACCAUUGAUAGUACCGGAAGAGGAAGGGACGGCUAACUCUGUGCCAGCAGCCGCGGUAAUACAGAGGUCCCAAGCGUUGUUCGGAUUCACUGGGCGUAAAGGGUGCGUAGGCGGUCGGGUAAGUCUGAUGUGAAAUCUCACAGCUUAACUGUGAAACUGCAUUGGAUACUAUUCGGCUUGAGAGUUGGAGGGGGGACUGGAAUUCUUGGUGUAGCAGUGAAAUGCGUAGAUAUCAAGAGGAACACCAGUGGCGAAGGCGAGUCCCUGGACAACUUCUGACGCUGAGGCACGAAAGCUAGGGGAGCAAA
RNAcentral lists this ribosomal RNA (426 nucleotides) under uncultured Verrucomicrobiota bacterium. Its description in RNAcentral is "bacterial SSU rRNA". It matches the Rfam family "Bacterial small subunit ribosomal RNA", at positions 353 to 772 of the family's 1533-position model. The record is from RNAcentral. Lineage: Bacteria; Pseudomonadati; Verrucomicrobiota.